Long non-coding RNA from Polypterus senegalus (gray bichir), 719 nucleotides. RefSeq lists it as uncharacterized. The record is from RefSeq and is a predicted model, not a curated record. NCBI's taxonomy places the organism in Eukaryota, Metazoa, Chordata, Cladistia, Polypteriformes, Polypteridae. The transcript is spliced from 4 exons.
GGCAAAAUAAUCUUAAUGUAAGCAGCUUUAAAAAAAGGAUGAUGGAGUGGAAAUUCCAUGUAUCAAUCCGUUUUCUGAAUCUGUUUCCAGUAUUAGGUUGUGGAAACCAGAAACUUUAUUGGCAGCAAUGGAUGUAGGUAAAGACCAUUGAUCAAUAAGGGUUUGCAAACUCAUUUACACCAGCACAAUUAAGUCAUGUCUAUCAAUUUAUGAGAAUAUUUUAUUUUGGCCCAGAGGAAACUAUAAGGCGAGAAUAAGAGCAAAGCAACAUUUAAGAUGUAAUUACACAGAAGACACCUUAUAAUCCGAAUAUACCCCGCAAGUGACAGAAAAAAAUCACAUUUAUUCAAAGAGAUGUCUCCACUUGUCAUGAACGUGUUCAGCAAGUAUUGUCUUCUUGGAGUUAAGCUUUCUUCUGGAGAUACUAAGAUGCCUGAUAUGUAUGGAGGGGUAGGUUAAUUGCAACUUAUUACCCAGCAGAAGGAAGGAAUACUGACCCAGAAGUUCAGGCCUUUUGUUGGACAGGAUCUGAUAGAAAAUGUGAUAGUCUCUCUCAGACUUGAGCUGGAAGACCACACGAGACUUCUCCAGGAGAUCUGACACAAAGAAUCAAUGCUUGGCACAAUUGACUAUAGAAGACAAUAAAGAGUUACCUGUCAGCAUGUACUGGUAGGCAUUAUCAGAGAUGGAGAAGAUGUGUGGGGGAGCCUCAGUCCUCU